UCCCUGCGGUUCUCGUACGCUGAUUUCACCGAUGCGAGUGAUGGUUGUUUCCAUAUCAUCAAGUUGUUCCAUCCCAGUCGCACGGUGUAAAAAAUUUUCUUCCUCCCUCGAAAUUGAAGGUCGAUGAUUAGUAUUUUCCAGGCUUAGCGGUGGAGAUAGCGGAUGGGUUAUUACUGGUUGAGCAUCAUUUUCGUUUUCUGAUUCUGUGGGCUGCAUGAGAGAUGGACCCGCCGGAACAGAUGUAGGCCAAGUUUGCUCAUUAGCACCGCUUCGACGAUGGAAGUCUUCUAAAGGCUGUUCCAUCGCCGAAGGGCACUCAAAGCCCAAGGGAAGGCUUAUCCCUAUCGGUAUUUGGCCUUUGGUCCGCUCGAGCAAAUCUUCUCCUCUUUUGAUAGCUUCCGCUAUUAUUGAUGUCGGGACAGAACGGACGGGUUCAAAAAAUGAACGGAGCGGGGCGAGUUCUCGGUAUAGGCUACGUCCCAAUUGUAGGGAUCAGUAAACGGAAUUGGGUUCCCAUCCAAAUCUGGGGCGUGUUCUGGGCUUUCCCAUCCGGUGGCCAUAUUCGUACUAUAUAUAAUUUCCUUUUGUUAACUGUAAAACAAAGA
This 605-nucleotide long non-coding RNA is filed under the name Androctonus crassicauda. The record is from RNAcentral. Lineage: Eukaryota; Metazoa; Arthropoda; Arachnida; Scorpiones; Buthidae.